GAUGAAGAACGCAGCGAAAUGCGAUAAGUAAUGUGAAUUGCAGAAUUCAGUGAAUCAUCGAAUCUUUGAACGCACAUUGCGCCCCCUGGUAUUCCGGGGGGCAUGCCUGUCCGAGCGUCAUUGCUGCCCUCAAGCACGGCUUGUGUGUUGGGCCUCCGUCCUCCUCCCGGGGGACGGGCCCGAAAGGCAGCGGCGGCACCGCGUCCGGUCCCCGAGCGUAUGGGGCUUCGUCACCCGCUCUUGUAGGCCCGGCCGGCGCUUGCCGACACAUCAAUCUUUUUUCCAGGUUGACCUCGGAUCAGGUAGGGAUACCCGCUGAACUUAAGCAUAUCAAUAAGCGGAGGA
RNAcentral lists this unclassified non-coding RNA (345 nucleotides) under soil metagenome. Its description in RNAcentral is "partial contains 5.8S ribosomal RNA, internal transcribed spacer 2, and large subunit ribosomal RNA". The stretch from base 1 to 120 matches the Rfam family "5.8S ribosomal RNA", at positions 35 to 154 of the family's 154-position model. The record is from RNAcentral.